AAGUCAUAACAAGGUUUCUGUAGGUGAACCUGCAGAAGGAUCAUUAGUGAUUGAACAAGGAGCCUUCCACUCGCUGGGAGCUCCGACCUUCCACUCUUAUCCACACACCUGUGCAUGCGGUCUUGCGGGCUCCUGGCGCCAAGCGCCUCGGGCCUGCCUGGCCAUUUUUACACACACAAUGUCAAUAGGAUGUCUUUCUUACGUCGCAAGACGAAUACAAAAGAAAACUUUCGACAACGGAUCUCUUGGUUCUC
RNAcentral lists this unclassified non-coding RNA (254 nucleotides) under air metagenome. RNAcentral describes it as "partial contains small subunit ribosomal RNA, internal transcribed spacer 1, and 5.8S ribosomal RNA". The stretch from base 1 to 46 matches the Rfam family "Eukaryotic small subunit ribosomal RNA", at positions 1786 to 1831 of the family's 1831-position model. The record is from RNAcentral.